Molecule: ribosomal RNA, 492 nt
Filed under: uncultured bacterium
Lineage: Bacteria
Description: partial 16S ribosomal RNA
Rfam family: Bacterial small subunit ribosomal RNA
Source: RNAcentral
AGUGAACGCUGGCGGUAGGCCUAACACAUGCAAGUCGAACGGCAGCACAGUAAGAGCUUGCUCUUACGGGUGGCGAGUGGCGGACGGGUGAGGAAUACAUCGGAAUCUACUUUUUCGUGGGGGAUAACGUAGGGAAACUUACGCUAAUACCGCAUACGACCUACGGGUGAAAGCAGGGGAUCUUCGGACCUUGCGCGAUUGAAUGAGCCGAUGUCGGAUUAGCUAGUUGGCGGGGUAAAGGCCCACCAAGGCGACGAUCCGUAGCUGGUCUGAGAGGAUGAUCAGCCACACUGGAGCUGGGACACGGUCCAGACUCCUACGGGAGGCAGCAGUGGGGAAUAUUGGACAAUGGGCGCAAGCCUGAUCCAGCCAUACCGCGUGGGUGAAGAAGGCCUUCGGGUUGUAAAGCCCCUUUGUUGGGAAAGAAAAGCAGCAGGUUAAUACCCCGCUGUUCUGACGGUACCCAAAGAAUAAGCACCGGCUAACUUCGUG